This 878-nucleotide long non-coding RNA is filed under the name Oryza brachyantha (malo sina). Its description in RNAcentral is "long non-coding RNA (OBRA_LNC003008)". The record is from RNAcentral. Lineage: Eukaryota; Viridiplantae; Streptophyta; Magnoliopsida; Poales; Poaceae.
AUACAUAUGUAAUUUCAAAGCGAUACAGUAUGACAAUGAUACUUCGAGUCAUUCCACUAAAUAUAAGGAAUGAUCUUUUAAAAACAAUAAUACUACUCCACUAAUUACUAAAUAAUUAGUUAACUGUAGCCGGCCAGGAUAUGUAUUAACUAUUGAUGAGAAGAUGCUAGUAGUCUCCUUCCAAGAUCACUUUCAGCAGUAUUCUGAGCCUGAGGCCGGGAAGGUUUGUCGGUGUGCAUGGCCGCCAUGAAGAACAACAGUAGAAGGAACACUUGGCGAACCCAAUGGCCAGUGCAGCAUGCCAACAUUUCUCGCAGGUGGCGAUCAUAUAAAACACGAAGAAUAUGUAGUAUAGGUAAAGCAUCAUCAACGGCAUGCCCUGCAUGCAUCAAAUGCGUAGAAAACAGCAUCAAAUUUAAUUGACUCAACUUAAUUAGUGAGCUAGGCUUGAAGUAAUUAGACAAAAGGGUACACUAAAAAAAUCAAAAAAAAAGAGAGAGAGAGUAAAGAAGGAAAAAAUGUCUUUACCUUCGGGCCAUGUGUUUGAAGAGACAGCCCCAUCGAAAAAUCGAGCAGAAUAGUCCUAAAAAGAACAAAGAUCUGCAUAAUAUAUAGAAACAGGCACAAACAAUGAUACUACUUGCUAGGAAAAAAAAUUGAUUGUGAAGUGUUUGAUAUACGGAAGAGAACCUGAAUGUUUUCCCUACACCUCCCAAUCCGAGCCAGAUUUACCUUCACUGCUAUAUGGUGAAACAAAAAUUAUGAGUGCAUGCAUGGAUCUUCAGCUCUUUACUAGUUGGUUUCAUAUAGCUCACAAACAAAGGUACUGCACUGCUACUACUUAGGAAGUAGGAACUUAUAUAGCCUAAACAAAAAGG